This 87-nucleotide transfer RNA is filed under the name Limosilactobacillus gastricus. RNAcentral's name for it is "Lactobacillus gastricus tRNA-Ser". It matches the Rfam family "tRNA". Rfam says of the family: Transfer RNA (tRNA) molecules are approximately 80 nucleotides in length. Their secondary structure includes four short double-helical elements and three loops (D, anti-codon, and T loops). The record is from RNAcentral. Lineage: Bacteria; Bacillati; Bacillota; Bacilli; Lactobacillales; Lactobacillaceae.
GGAGGAUUACCCAAGUGGCUGAAGGGGCGGUCUUGAAAACCGCUAGGUCGUUAACGCGGCGCAAGAGUUCGAAUCUCUUAUCCUCCU